AGAGAGAGAGAGAGAGAGAGAGAGAGAGAGAGAGAGAGAGAGAGAGAGAAAGGUAGGUUCAUAUGUGGAUUGACAACUAUUGUAUGGUCAUAGGAACCAAUUAGAAUUAAAAAAAAAUCAUUAAUUAAUCUAAUAAAGGAUAGUUUUGUCAUUUUAUAUAUGCAUUUGAUUAUAAUCCCUAAAUCAAUGGGUCAAAUCCCUUAAAUCCAUACAGUGCAUCUAAUUAACCUCAUAUUAAAACAAUCGCUCACAACUCUUCCAUUACUCCUUUCCGUCGUCACCCACAACAACCAGCAUCGCUGCCUCAUAACCUUAAUCUAAACAAUAGUCGAUCUUUCCUCAUAUAUCCCCACCAUUGGCCGCUUCCAGAUCAUACAUGUUGUCGUUGAUUCCUCCACCUAAUACAACUGACACCCACCCCCUGAAGCACCCUCCAUUAACGCUGCCCACCUCCAGCCCAUCAGUUGAAUCCUCCCAUUCGACGACACCAGCCUGUCGUGAGAUCUCAAAAAGGUCAACCCUACAUCACUCUUAUCUAUUUUCUUGUAUUAUUUUCAAGAGUAUAACCAUUUUUCAUUGGUUGCUUUUGGAAUUCUUAGGUUUUGACAAAUUUUACUAGACCAUAACAAAAUUGUAUUAUAGCUGAUUGCUUUGGUGGUAAAAAAUUUACGAUCGUGAUGACGUAUGGUAGCUGGUUUCUUCUAAGGUUUUUACCACUUAACUCAAUUCAAAGAUUUUACUAUGUGUCCUGUUUUGCUUGAUUCCACCAUCUUGUACACCUCUUAUCUUAUGCAAGUAUGUUAUUUUCUUUCCCCCUUUUUCUAAUUUAGUUAAUUAUGUUUUGUUUACAUAUUUUUUUUCCAUUAUCUUCCAGUUAUAGUAAUACUAUUGGAUAGUAGAUACCAACGAUCUUCUUAUUGAUUUGUGAUUGAGUAUAAGUUUUCAAGAAAUAAGUGAAUAGUGUUUAUCUUUAAGAGUUGUACUUGUAUUUCACUUGAAAAGAUCUUAUGUGUAUAUACAUGCUUGUAUGUGUUCAAUAGGUCUUUGGUGGACAUAACCAAAGAACAAAGUAUAAACAAUAACAUCAAUAUGUGUGUAGAAUACUCAUAAACUCAUUCUAUUUGAAUAUUUAAAUGAUCAUUCGGUUAGAAAUAACAUCAUUCUAUUAAAAUAUACAACUAUUCAUUCUAUUAGAAUCUUAUAGCAAUAUAAUGUGGUAUGCAUUCUAUUUUGGAAGAUUGGACUUUAAUUUGUGAAUUUGAUUUAAGGAUUGUCACACGCGUUGGUAGUAAUUUAAAAUGUUGAUUACAGUUAAUGUUGAUAUUCUGUAUAUUUUUUUGACAAUCUCGUAAAACCAUGAAUGAUUGGAGAAUCCACGAUUGAUUCCAGAAUACCAAAUAUUUCGAAAAUCAAGAAGCGAAUAAUGAUUUCAUACAUCUUAAUAGUCAGACAUUCAAGAAGUCAAGAACAAAGGAAAACUGAGAGAUAUAUAAAAGAAGAUGAUGGAUUCUACUAGUUUUACUACCUACAACUUCAUGAAAAAUCCAGAUGAAGAAACCCUAGAAUUCGAUUCUAUUGCUUCCAUUCUCACAGAACGAGUUUUUGUAUCUCAUUCUCGAAGAAUGCAAAAUUAAAUAUUGCUAUUGGUUUUUAGAUUUUUCUAUUUUUUGAUGUAGACUAUUUCAUAGAAUGUAAUUAUUUAAUAUGUUAUUAGUAUAAAAAAAAGGUUUUUGUGUAUUACAUUCUGCUUAGAAUGGAUAUUUUGUAAAAAGAAAAAGUUGAUUUCAUAUAUUCUUAAAUAUAUUCUGUCAGAAUGCACAGCAUAGUUACAAACAUAUUUUUUAUGAUUUUUGAACUAAAAAGAAUGAUUAUCCUCCAAAAUCAGAUUUUUUUUUAAUUAAGAAAAAGUAUCCAUAAAAUCUGGAAUUUACCUUUUUUAAAUCUAGUUAAAUUGAAUAAAAUACCAUUUCAAUGAAUUUUAUGUUAUUAUAUGGUACAUGCUAUUCCACUGUAAUACUAUAGACCCUAGAUCAUAACCAUUCUUGAUUUUUCAUCUGUUGGUUCAAAAUUGUCCUUACGACCACACAAUAGAUAUCAUUCACAUUAUAACCUAACUAUAUAUAUAUAUAUAUAUAUAUAUAUANNNNNUGGGUACCAUAUAACUAUGCUAAAUACAGUCAUAGGAUAGUUUACAAUAAAAGAUAAUUUAAAUUGAAACAUUGAAAAACCAAGUCAAUGACAAACAACCCUAAAAACACCAAACCACGGCUAACAACACAGGCAACAUCAUGACUUAUAGUUAAACGUUUCAAUUUAAAUUACCUAUUAUUAACCUAGACUUUUGUAUUUCAAAUAAUUAUAUGAUACCUAAUGUUUCUAAUAAAUUAAUAAAACCAUAAUUCCAUGAAAUUAUUUAACACUUAAAAGUAAUUAGCCUAUCAUUAGGCUAACAAAAUAUAAGUAAAGAAUACUUACAAUAUUAUAGAAGGAACACAAUAGGAAGGAGUGACCAGGAUACUACAAAGCUUAUUUUAUUAACUUCAAAUAUUUUACAAGAGGACGAGAGUGGAGGGUGAGAAGAAGUGUAAAA
This 2590-nucleotide long non-coding RNA is filed under the name Lactuca sativa (garden lettuce). Its description in RNAcentral is "long non-coding RNA (LSAT_LNC006043)". The record is from RNAcentral. Lineage: Eukaryota; Viridiplantae; Streptophyta; Magnoliopsida; Asterales; Asteraceae.